CUGCAGCCAAUUAAACCUACCAGGCUCUUUUUAGAUGUCCAAUGACUGUAAACAGCAGCUUCCUUAGUAGUAUAUGCAGUCUGUUGCUCAUAUGGCUUGCCCUAAGUACAUGGAGACGGAC
Molecule: small nucleolar RNA, 121 nt
Gene: SNORA70
Rfam family: Small nucleolar RNA SNORA70
About the family: snoRNA U70 seems to be exclusive to mammals and is a member of the H/ACA class of snoRNA which contain H (ANANNA) and ACA box motifs. H/ACA box snoRNAs are involved in the conversion of uridines to pseudouridines (5-ribosyluracil) a constituent of structural RNAs (transfer, ribosomal, small nuclear, and small nucleolar).
Source: Ensembl